Molecule: long non-coding RNA, 4286 nt
Filed under: Sus scrofa (pig)
Lineage: Eukaryota; Metazoa; Chordata; Mammalia; Artiodactyla; Suidae
Description: lncRNA (ENSSSCG00025075873.1)
Source: RNAcentral
GAAACAGUUUUAAUUUUUCGUUGCAUAAGCAAAACAUCCCCAUAAAACAUUCACUUUUCAAAAAUCUUUAUAUACAAGUAACUGUGGAAGGUGGAGGAAAUAACUAAAAACACCGCCACUACCAACACAACAGCUCCUAACAGUAGGCCAGGUCAGGGUGCAGAAUUCAUGAAAACAAGCUGCUCACAUUCCCAGAACCACAACCCCCAGUGAGGAAUCUUGUCCUCUUUAACUUGCUGGGUGGCAGAGCCCGGAGGAAUUACUCAAACUAUGAAAAUCCCAAAGCAUGGUCACCUAGGGGGAAGUGAGGAGACAGAUAUGACUUGAGCAUGACAAUUAUUUUCUUAUAAUAACAGUAAAGAAAACAACCUUAAGUGGUAAAGGCUCUUUGAGCUCCAACAAACAAGUAGCUAAUGGUAUUUACCAAACCUAGCAUUUGUUAGCUAAGGCAGAACAUACACUGUACAUGUGCCUUUUUUCUUUCAAACAAUAUUCUUUAAUGCACUCACAUUUAUUGAUUAUAGAUACAUGCAAGUGGUAUAUAAAUAAUAAAACAUAGCAAACACCAGACAUACUGUUCUAGGUACCUUCAUGUAGUUUAUUUCACUUAAUUCUCACAAUAACCCUAUGAGGUUAUGAGAUCCAUUAUUAUUCAUGAUUUACAAAAGAAAAAAAAAAAACUAAGUCAUAGGGAAGUUUAAUUAUUUGACCAAAAUCAUACAACUAGAAUGCAAAACUAGGUACUUUGUCUCCAGAGCUCUUGCUUUUAAUUUAGCUCUAGUUCUCUCGUGAAAUUGGAUUUUUAACCCCAUUAUCACAGAACUAUUCUUCCAAGACUGUAAAUUCUACUUCUCUGGGAACUUCCACCUCUUUGACUCACUUUUACCUUUGCCUCCCAAUUCCUUCUGGUUUCACCUGUUUUCCUGUACAACCUGGACCCCCUAGUCAUUUCAACUAUGCCCAAACUCCUUCCCAGGCCUCUCCUACACAGUCAAACCAAGGUGGUCACCUGUACCUGCCACCUUCGUCCCACCUCUGCACCCAGCAGUGAAGUACCACUGCUGAUGCAAUGAAGAGUUGUGCUGCCUCUUGGUCAGUGGGCCUUCCCUGCUGCUUGGCAGUCCUCUCUUGGGCAGUGCACAGCAUCCACUGCAGCUGUUCCAAACUUCUUCCAGGAUUAAAUCCCCCAAAGCACCUUGCUAGUCCUUUGUAGGUUAUCUUACCAUGGCUUUAUUUAAGUCAACCAAAAUAGGGCUGUCAGAUUAAGACACAGGAUGCCUGGUAACAUCUGAAUUUCAAAUAAAAAGGAAUCAUAUUUUGGGAUAAGUAUGUCCAAAAUAUUGUAUGAUAGAAAUAUUUAAAUAGUAUUUAAACUAAUAAAAAUAGCCAACUAUGUACUGAGAGCCUACCAAAGAUUGUAUGCAGGUACUUAAUACUAAAAACUUAUUCAUUGUUUAUCUGAAGUUUAAAAAAUUACUGGACAUCCUGUAUUUUAAUUUGCUAAAUAUAAUUCAGUCAAAUGCCCCUUCUUUCCAUUCCCAGAAGUACUGUUCCUUUUUUCAAAAGUUAAUUCUCUGACCUAUGGUAGUGAUCUUUCUUCUUCAUUUUCUUCUUCAUCCUACAAAUUCUUUAUACUUUUCAAACAUGCUCCAGUCAUCCCUACCAUGGUAUUAAUGGUUCCACUUCUUCACCCCUUCAUGUCACUUUGUCAUUUCUCUAAAGAGGUGAAUUCUGUUUCCCUACCCCUUGAGUUUUACUUGGUCACAUAACCUGCUCUGGCCAACAGAAUGAGACAGAAGUGCCAGUGUGUCAGUUUGGAGUCUCGACCUCAAGAAGCCUUAUAUGUUUCUGCUUACUACUUAAAACUCUUCUUCAGGACAAGAGAAACAAAACAAAACCAUCUGUAAAAAACAAAAACAGUAAUUUGAAAAGAUACAUUCACCCCAAUGUUCACAGUAGCACUAUUUACAAUAGCCGAGAUAUGGAAGUAACCUAAAUGUCCAUCAACAGAUGAAUGGACAAAGAGGGUGUGAAAUAUAUGCAUAUACAAUUACAAUAUAUAUAUACCAUUGUAUAUAUAUUUAUAUACACACAUAUAUAGAAUAUUACUCAGCCAUAAAAAAUGAAAUUUUCCCAUCUAUAGCAAUAUGGAUGAACUUUAGCAUUACACUAAAUGAAAUAAGUCAGAGAAAGCACUUAUAUGUAGAAUCUAAAAAAAUCCAACAAACUGGUAAAUAGAGUAAAAAAAUAGAAGCAGACUCACACAUAUGGAGAACAAAUUAGUGGUUACCAGCGGGGACAAGGACAAGAGAGGGGUAAUAUAAGCAUAAGGACGUUAAAAGGUACAAACUAUUAUGUAUAAAAUAAGCAAUAAGAAUAUAUCAUACAACACAGGGAAUAUAAACAAUAAUUUAUAAUAAUUAUAAAUGGAGUAUGGCCUUUAAAUAUGUGAAUCACUAUACUGUUCACUUGUAAUGUAUAUUAUACUUCAAUUUUAAAAAAUGCUGCAAUGGAGUUCCUGUUGUGGCUCAGUGGUUAGCGAAUCUGACUAGAAUCCAUGAGGACAUGGGUUUGAUCCCUGGCCUUGCUCAGUGGGUUCGUUAACUGAUGAGCCACGACAGGAACUCCAUCAUUAUUCUGUUCUUAAUGGGUAAGUGUAUUUUAUGAAAGAGAGAAGCUGCCUCUAAAUUAUAAAUAACAGCUUGCAGUUACUGAGUGCUUAAUCAGUUCUGAGAUCUAACUCACUUAAAUUCUCUAAUUCAAUGCUCACAACAACACUGUGAGGUAGGAACUAGUUAUCAUCUAUAUGUAACAGAUGGGAAAACUGAGGGACAGAAAGUAAUUUGCCCAAAGUCACAGAGCUGGUAAUUAGGGAAACUGAGCCAUAGAGACUAAACUCUUAACCAGCAUGCUAUGCUGCUAUUCGAGAAAUGAACUAUACAUACAAACAUGCCCAUCACUGUUUCCUAUCCACACAGCACUGCUUUCCCUGCUACUUUAGGGAGAGAAAAGGCUGUGUUUUUAGAAAUUUGUAGGAUCAGAAAUGAUGGAAAGAGGAAGCUGGGAAAGCAAGAAUGAAAUGACUCAAAUGAGCUGGGCCUAACACCCUUGGCCCUGACUUAGAACAACUAGAGACUACUUAGAUUUACAAAGCCCUCUAAAAAGGGUAACUGUCCCUAGGAGUAAUUUCCCUUCAGUUAUCACUUCAUUCCAUAAUAUCUGAGACAUGCUCUUUUUGACUGAUCAAAUAUUAAUUUUAAAAGUAUUAGAAAUAUACCUUUUUGGAUGAGCUAGACACAAAACUACAAAGUAAAACAGGAAAGUAAGCACAAAAGCCAAGUUAGAGAGUCAGAGAGAGGGUAAUUAUAAUUGAAAUGAUUCAGUCUGGAAAUCCUGUUGUGGAUCAGCCAAAACGAAUCUGACUAGCAUCCAUGAGGACACGGGUUCGAUCCUUGGCCUCGCUCAGUAGGUUAAGGAUCUGGUAUUGCCAUGAGCUGUGGUGUAGGUCGCAGAUGAGGCUUGGAUCCUGAGUUGCUAUGGCUGUGGUAUAGACCAGCAGCUACAGCUCUGACUCAACCCCUAGCCUGGGAACCUUCAUAUGCCUCGGGUGCGGCCCUAAAAAGAUUAAAAAAAAAAAGAAAUGAUUCAGCCUAAUACUAAUUUUGGGUGUAUAAAGAAUUUAUAACAUAUAACACAUCUUUGGCAUAUGGAGCAUGAGGUUUAGAUGGUAGAGACUAAUACAUUACAAGGAUAAACUUCCCUUCCGCACAGUACAGACAGAGAGUAAUCUACCCGAAGUUGGUGGUCCUGAAUUUACACUGUUAAAUGCCAAUCUGCACGGCACUUAUUUUUUCUAUCUGGGCACAAUGAGCAAUCUGGGAGCAGACAUCCAGUUAGAUCUUGUACUUCACCAGGUGAGUGAUAGCAGGGCAACAGGGCAAAAGGAGAUGUGGUUCCUGGUAAGAGAGUGGUAAUUUAAAAUAGAAUGUGGCUUGGAUAUGGCAUUGCUGUGGCUAUGGCAUAGGCCGUCAGCUGCAGCUCCAAUUCAGCCCCUAGCCUGGGAAUUCCCCUGUGCUGCAGGUUUGUGGUCCUAAAUUAAAUAAACAAAUAAAAAUAGAAUAGAAUGCAGUGGAGAUGAAAGAAGUAAAGGCAGGAGCAGGCAGAUGGGAGAAAAAAGAGAAGUCUAUGGACUGGAGGUCUCAAGCCAGAGAAACCUGAGAAGGGUGAGAGGCUGAAGCAGAGGAGGGAAGAGCACUGGAAAUAAGAUGUCAGGGAACUGAGAAUGG